CUGGUUCCGGUUCACGUCGCUGCGCCCGCGCAGCACGACCCGGCGACC
This 48-nucleotide non-coding RNA is filed under the name unclassified sequences. RNAcentral describes it as "L31-Actinobacteria ribosomal protein leader". It matches the Rfam family "L31-Actinobacteria ribosomal protein leader". The record is from RNAcentral.